This 336-nucleotide unclassified non-coding RNA is filed under the name soil metagenome. RNAcentral describes it as "partial contains 5.8S ribosomal RNA, internal transcribed spacer 2, and large subunit ribosomal RNA". The stretch from base 2 to 119 matches the Rfam family "5.8S ribosomal RNA", at positions 37 to 154 of the family's 154-position model. The record is from RNAcentral.
GUGAAGAACGUAGCGAAAUGCGAUAAGUAAUGUGAAUUGCAGAAUUCCGUGAAUCAUCGAAUCUUUGAACGCACAUUGCGCCCCCUGGCAUUCCGGGGGGCAUGCCUGUCCGAGCGUCAUUUCUGCCCUCAAGCACGGCUUGUGUGUUGGGUGUGGUCCCCCCGGGGACCUGCCCGAAAGGCAGCGGCGACGUCCGUCUGGUCCUCGAGCGUAUGGGGCUCUGUCACUCGCUCGGGAAGGACCUGCGGGGGUUGGUCACCACCAUGUUUUACCACGGUUGACCUCGGAUCAGGUAGGAGUUACCCGCUGAACUUAAGCAUAUCAAUAAGCGGAGGA